This 486-nucleotide ribosomal RNA is filed under the name uncultured bacterium. Its description in RNAcentral is "partial 16S ribosomal RNA". It matches the Rfam family "Bacterial small subunit ribosomal RNA", at positions 30 to 507 of the family's 1533-position model. The record is from RNAcentral.
AUUGAACGCUGGCGGCAUGCCUUACACAUGCAAGUCGAACGGCAGCACGGGUGCUUGCACCUGGUGGCGAGUGGCGAACGGGUGAGUAAUACAUCGGAACAUGUCCUGUAGUGGGGGAUAGCCCGGCGAAAGCCGGAUUAAUACCGCAUACGAUCUACGGAUGAAAGCGGGGGACCUUCGGGCCUCGCGCUAUAGGGUUGGCCGAUGGCUGAUUAGCUAGUUGGUGGGGUAAAGGCCUACCAAGGCGACGAUCAGUAGCUGGUCUGAGAGGACGACCAGCCACACUGGGACUGAGACACGGCCCAGACUCCUACGGGAGGCAGCAGUGGGGAAUUUUGGACAAUGGGCGAAAGCCUGAUCCAGCAAUGCCGCGUGUGUGAAGAAGGCCUUCGGGUUGUAAAGCACUUUUGUCCGGAAAGAAAUCCUUGGCCCUAAUACGGUCGGGGGAUGACGGUACCGGGAGAAUAAGCACCGGCUAACUACGUG